This is a long non-coding RNA of Sapajus apella (tufted capuchin), 389 nucleotides long. RefSeq lists it as uncharacterized. Lineage: Eukaryota; Metazoa; Chordata; Mammalia; Primates; Cebidae. The record is from RefSeq and is a predicted model, not a curated record. The transcript is spliced from 2 exons.
GCAAUGUCUGAAUAAGUCUGCAUUUAAAAAAUAUGUAUACAUGAACUCAUGCAAUGUUUAUUAAGGAACCAUGUGCUGCAACUGUAAGAGGAGGUAAUGGGUUCCUGGCCAUACCACUGUUUUCCUCUCUUCUGCUGCUGGCGAAAGGAUCUUUGUGGUGGAGCAGCUGCUAUAGCCUGAGGUGAGGUCAUGCCCUCUUCUCCCUUUAUCCUUUGCCCCAUUCUCUAGCAGGGAAAAUGCAGCAGGGAUGCCCCUGGAGGUGGCUGAGCCCCUGUCUAGAGAAAGAGGCAAGCUCUGUUGACACAGGUCUUUUGUAAGGCCACAAGGUUUAAGCUGGUGGCCCAGGACCAUCAUUCUACUAUAAUAAAGAUUAUGAAAUAAUAAUAUAA